UCUUUGAACGUUUUCUACGAAUAGGAGGAGAUAUUUUUAUACCUAUUGACAAAAACAUGAGAUUAAUCAAUAUCUAGACUUAGGCAGGACUUAAUUCAUUAAUUUUUUAAAAGAAUUUUUAACUUGACUCGUGAGAACUAGUGCGACCAUUAAAUUAGGACCUAGAUGUAAAGAAAGAUUUUAUUAAAAAUCAAAGUGAGAGAAACAUGAAUGAUAAUAUUUUUAGGAAAAACACCUGUUUAAAUCGACUCUAUCAAAAUUUUUUUUGCAAUAACAGACCUCUAGACAAUUUUAACUAUAUGUUUGGAGAAAAUUCCACUAAGUAUACUUAAAAGGAAAAAAAUAAAAUAAAAUAAAAGAGAAUGACUUAGAAAAGAAGAAUGGUUAUUUUAUAAAGUUGUAUAAAAAUUUCAGCCUCACGACCCCUAAAGGUCCGGUACUGUUAAAAUAUAUGUUUACAUAUUUUAUUAUUUCAUAAAAAUUCAGCUCACGAUCCCUAAAGGUUCAGGCUAUUAUGAUUUUUAUGUUAAAAUUAAUUUUGAAAAAAAAAAGAAAAGUAAAAUAAAGAUAAUAAUAUUCAUGAAAAUAAUCAUUUUUUUUUCUUCUUAUUAUUUUUUCAAAAAAUAUCCUUCAAUAAAUUUAUGAAUAAAUAUAUUAUUAUUAUUAUUUCAAAAUCAGGGUCAUAUCCCGGAUAGGACAUCCUACGUAUCCCACUAAAAAGUGAGAAUCAGACUCUCGUAGUUCAAGAAAACUCUAAAAGUAUAUUAUUCUAUAUUUAAAAUUUUCCUUUCUUCUAAAAAAAAAUAAAAUAAAAUUUUCCUUUGAAAAAUAAUUCAAUGAAUUUGAGGAUAAUAUAAUUUUUUGCAUUUUGAACUUGCCUAAAAGCCGAUCAACAAUAAAAUAAGUCUUCCAAAUAAAUGUCAAAGAGCACGUAGGAUGUACAUGUUGGUCUUUAUAAAGUAGGUCACAUGUCCUAAACAGACCCAGCCCCUAUGCAGGGUUUCGCUAAGUCAAAUGCAUAUGAUGCAAAAUAAGCGGCACCUAAUAGGGAUAACUAGAUUCUGAGUUUUCAGUUCUUUUAAGUUUAAGCCUAAUAGAGAUAUGUGUCUAGACUGGCUUACCGAGUGGACACUCGAGCCCGGGAGGAACAACUUGAUCAGUAGCAGGGCAACAUUGCCUUCGUUAUCGAUCCGAACCCUGCCUAACAUGUGUGACUAUAAUCCUUCACCAGGUGUCUUGAUACUCCGGCUAUCUCAAAAAGAAAGUUAGGAAGCAUAUGUUGCAUUCCUUCUAUCCUAUUUUAGAGACUCAGAGGGAGUGUGAAAGAGAACACAAUAUAUAAUACAGUUCAAUCAAUAUCAAAGCGGUAAAUAAGCGACAGGUAGCAUAUAAGGCCAAUAAUAUCAAUAAUAAUCAAAGCAAGUAUAACUCAAUAUAAAACGCUCGAAUUCUUAUUAUUUUCCAGUAGAGUCGUCAGAGAUGUCACACCCCUUUUUUGCCCGAGGGUUCAAGUCGAUCAAAGGAUUUUUUCGAUUAAAGUGACGAUAUUGAAUAGGGAUUAAUUUAUUUCCAGAGUCGCCACUUGGAAUCGAGUUAUGGUGUUCCAAGUCACCUUAUUGAAUCCCUAAUCAAAAGAAAAUGACUAUUUGUUGGUCUGCGAAAACAGAUGACCGGGUAAGGAAUUUUAUUGACCAAGGAAAAGGUGUGAGGCACCUCUCGAGUCCCGUGGUUCUAGCACGGUCUCUUUUAUUGACUCAUCUUGACUUAAACUAUUUUGAUAUAUUAUGUUAAAGCCUAAUUUGCUCAUUUUUAUCAUAUCAAAUAUCUGUCUAUACCUCUUGUGUUAAGCCGGAGAAAGUUAAAUUUGUAAAAUAUUUACCAAGGUGCAUUAUUUACAUCCUUGAAUUAUUUUUAAAUGUCUCAAAAAGAUGCGUGCGCCGCAUUCUUAGUUGAGAUAUAAAUUUUAAACGUGUCUAAAAUUUAUUUAACACUAAAAUAUUAAUUUAUCCUAUUUAUAAUAAUUCGUAGCAAUUUAUCUUUUCAAAAAAUACUACUUAAUCUUUACAGUAAACUAAAAUAAUUUUCAUUUAAAGUAAUUAACUAAUAAUUAAUUUAAUAAUAAAAUAGUAAAAACCUUAUUAAUGAUAACAAAUGAAAAUAAUAAUAAUAAAAUAAAGAAAAAUAAAUUGUUAUCCAUAUGAUACUAAUGUUGAUCCCCAAAAUAUUAUUAUUAUUAUUAUUAUUAUUAUUAUUAUUAUUAUUAAAAGAAUAUACAUACACACACUAACUCAAAUACACGUACUACAACUGUUAGGUCCUCUAUUUUCUUUCUCCUCUCUCUCUCUCAAUUACUACCGUUUUCAUCACUGCCGCCGGCGACAACGACAUUGGCUUUCUUCCGUUCGGAUGAGGCUGCAGCGAUGACGGACUGAUUUUGAAUGAUUUUGACUGUUUUUGGUGAUGAAGAAGGGAAAGGGGGGCGGCGAUGUGUUUGGUUUUGAUGGUAGAGGCGCAGCUGGCGCCGUCUAUAGCGGCAAAUCCAAUGGUUUGGCUGAUUUUACGGCGACGUGAUGAGUUGGGAAUAUUUUUCAGCGAAGGAAGGACGAUUUCGGUAAGUUCCGUCCAGAUCUAAUCGGAGUUGGUAUUCACCAGUGAUGGUGGUCGAUGGAAAGGGGGAAAAGGAAGAGAGAGAUGCGACACACUGAUUCAGCAUUUGGUCGGAUCUGAUUUUGUUGGUUCUGCCGGAGUUAUUCUAGUGAAUAUUUUGGCGAUUCCAGUAGGUUUCGCUGGAGGAGAUGAUGAUUCUGGUGAACUCCUCGAAAAAAUCAGUGCAAAUCAUUUUAUUCCUUCUUCCUUUUUACUAAAUUUUUCUCUGUUUGUGUGUCUGUGCAAUGCGUGUAUGUGAUUGGCAUAAUAAAAUGGAAAAAGAAAAGUGUGUGGCUGUUAUUCAGUAAAUGUGAAUAUUUGUGUGCAAAUGAGUUGUAACAGUAUAUGAAAUUGUAACAGUACCUAUCUCAGACUGUAUUUAGCACUCCAAAUUCUAAUUUUUAUUACAUUUAUUUACUAGCAUAUAAAUAUUCAAUAACUUUAAUCACAUAACAUGUAGUAACAAAGAUUUGCAUAAUCAAUCAAUUAUUCAUAAUACAUGAAAUCACUUGAAAUUUUUAUUCAUAUUUUUCCUCAGUAAACUUACAACAUAAAUGAAAUAAGAUCGAAAUAGAACCUGUAUGCUAACUUUAAUUAAAUACACAAGCAAGAUGUUAUCACUGGAAACUUGAACGGAACUCCAACUUUAAUCUACGAACUCUGAAUGAUCUCCUUUUUUUAAAAAAGAAAAUUCCUCUCUUUUUCUUUGUUUUUGCUCUCUAAUUUUAUUUUUUUAUUUUUUUCAGUGUCUGAUAGUCUGAUGCAGUGUCUGUAGGGAGAUAGAUUGUAUGUAGUUUUUUUUUCUUUUCCUUUUUGGGGGUGGAAGUCCUUUAAGUAGAGGGAUUUUUUUUUUGGG
Molecule: long non-coding RNA, 3502 nt
Filed under: Capsicum annuum
Lineage: Eukaryota; Viridiplantae; Streptophyta; Magnoliopsida; Solanales; Solanaceae
Description: long non-coding RNA (CANN_LNC013297)
Source: RNAcentral